This 1275-nucleotide ribosomal RNA is filed under the name metagenome. RNAcentral's name for it is "bacterial LSU rRNA". It matches the Rfam family "Bacterial large subunit ribosomal RNA", at positions 1647 to 2925 of the family's 2925-position model. The record is from RNAcentral.
CCUUAAACCGACACAGGUGGGUGAGUGUAAAUGCACUAAGGCGCGCGAGAGAGACCUCUCUAAGGAACUCGGCACAUUAGCCUCGUAACUUCGGGAAAAGAGGUGCUCACUUCGGUGAGCCACAGUAAAUUGCGUUUAGCGACUGUUUAACAAAAACACAGCACUCUGCUAAGUCGUUAAGACGACGUAUAGGGUGUGACACGUGACCAAUGCGGAAAGAUUAAGGCAUUUUGUUAGCCGCAAGGCGAAGCUCGGUGCCAAAGUCCCCGUGAAUGUCGGCCGUAACUAUAACGGUCCUAAGGUAGCGAAAUUCCUUGUCGGGUAAGUUCCGACCUGCACGAAUCGUGUAACGACUGAACGACUGUCUCGGAGAGGAUCUCGGCGAAACUGUAACUGCGGUGAAGAUGCCGCAUGCCCGCAGUAGGACGGAAAGACCCUAUGCACCUUUACUGUAAGCUGGUAUUGUGUUCUGAUUAAUAAUGCGUAGCGUAGGUGGGAGGCUUUGAAGUGAGUGCUUCGGUGCUCAUGGAGCCGCAAUGUGAAACACCACUCUUUGCUAAUUAGGAUUCUAACCUCGAUUCCUGUCAACCAGGCGAGGGACAGUGCUUGCGGGUCAGUUUGACUGGGGCGGUUUCCUCCCAAAGAGUAACGGAGGAGCGCGAAGCUUGGCUCAGCACGGUUGGCAACCGUGCGUCGAGCGUAUGGGUAUAAGCCAGGUUAACUGUGAGACCUACAAGUCGAGCAGAUGCGAAAGCAGGCCCUAAUGAUCCGAUGGUUUAAUGUGGAAUUGCCAUCGCUCAACGGACAAAAGGUACGCUAGGGAUAACAGGCUGAUCGGUUCCAAGAGUUCACAUCGACGAACCGGUUUGGCACCUCGAUGUCGGCUCAUCGCAUCCUGGGGCUGGAGAAGGUCCCAAGGGUCCGGCUGUUCGCCGGUUAAAGCGGUACGCGAGCUGGGUUCAGAACGUCGUGAGACAGUUCGGUCCUUAUCCACUGUGGGCGCAGGAAUCUUGAGGGGUUCAUUCUCUAGUACGAGAGGACCGAGAAUGACGCACUUCUGGUGUGGCAGUUGUUCCAUCAGGGGCAUCGCUGCGUAGCCAUGUGCGGAAGAGAUAAGCGCUGAAAGCAUCUAAGUGCCAAGCUCAUCCCAAGAUAUGGAUUCCCGGACGCAAGUCCCUAAAGACCCCCGGCAGACUACCGGGUUGAUAGGUCAGGCAUGUAAGCGUCGCGAGAUGUUUAGUGGACUGAUACUAAUUGGUCGUGCGGCUUGAUCGC